RNAcentral lists this long non-coding RNA (33554 nucleotides) under Malus domestica (apple). RNAcentral describes it as "long non-coding RNA (MDOM_LNC001575)". Lineage: Eukaryota; Viridiplantae; Streptophyta; Magnoliopsida; Rosales; Rosaceae. The record is from RNAcentral.
UUUUUUUUUUUUUUUUUUUUUUUAUAAUUUUAAACAUUUCUUUUCUUCUAUAAAUAUGGUGAAGUUCUUUCAAUUCUUCACUUCAUUUGCAAUAUUUCAUUCUUCAAUAUUUUUCAAUAUUUCCUUCAAUAUAUUUCUCAGUAUCUCAUUCAAUAUUUCCUUCAACAUAUUUUCCAAUAUUUCCUUCAUCUAUAAUAUUUGUUUCAAUUUUUCAAUAAUUUCCUUCAAUAUUUUUUUCAAUAAUUUCCUUCAAUAUUUCCUUCAUUUUUUUCAAAAAAAAUGGCCUCAUCUGCAAUGAAAGGUAGGUCUUGGACCCGAAAAGAAGAUGAAGCUCUUUGCAAGGCUUAUAGAUGGGUCUCAGAAGAUAGUGUGAGGGGGAUUUCUCAAACAAGUGAAGGUGUUUGGACUCGUGUGUCCAAAAAAUACUUAGAGUUCUAUGAAGGCACCAUUCCACUCGAACCACAAAAGUUGUUUUUCAAGAUGGAAGAAACAUCUUCAUCCAAGUUUGAAUAAAUGGCAUCAAGCACUAUUAGCAGCAGCAAGUAGACAUGAAAGCGGCGCCAAUUACUAUGACGAAGUUAGUGUUUUCACAGUUUAUUUUAAAUGUUUAAUUAUAUUACAUUUAAUUUUUGUAAUUAUAUGUCAUUAUAUUACAUUUAAUUUCAUGAAUUAAUUUCCUAAAAUUUUUGUAAUUAUAUUUUCUAGGUACGCCAAGCGGAGGAAUUGUAUAUGGAGGGUAGCUCAAAACCCUUUCAGUUUCACGGUUGUUGGGAAAUUUGUAAAGGGUGGGUGUUAUUUGAAAAUCCACCUCAACAUAGAGUGGAUCCUUUGGGAGCUGCAUCCUCAUCUGUAGAUAUGAAUGAAGAUGGAUCUCCUACUAUUCAACAAACAAGGGUAGAAAAUCCGACUCCGUCCGAAAGUUCUUUACUUAGGGCUAUGAGACGAAACAAGGCCCAAAGGUUGAGGGAAAAGGGUAAGGCAAAUGCUGAUUACGCCGCUCAACAUGAAGUGGUGGCCUCAUUGCGAUUACUGGCGGAGCAAAACGCCCUUGAGGCGGAAGAAAGGAAGUGUAGACAUGAAGAACGGGCCAAACAAAUACAAGAAGAGAUGGAUGAUAAGAAUAUGGAAAUGAACACUUUGAAUUACACUCCAAUGAGUAAGGCCUAUUUUGAUAGGAAAAAAAAAGAAAUUAUGUCUCGGCGGCAAUUGUUUACCUCUAACUAUACUCCUACAAUGGCGGAUGAUGAAGAUGAUGUUGAUUAUGGAUAUUAAAUUUAAGUCGUUGUAAUUUUUAAAUUUAAGUUAAUGUUGUUUUAAAUUUAAUUUGUAGUUUUUAAAAUUAAUUUUUAGUUUUUAAAUAUAAGUUGUUGUUUUUAAAUAUAAGUGUGAACACGGAAAAUUCCUGAAACGAAUGAGACAAGAACAACGUGCACAAACAAAUAUUUGUAUUUGAUGAUUUUGGGUUCCAAUCUCUCUCUAAUUUGAUCCUCUGAUUCGAUCUCCGUAAGGUGUUGAUUCGUGGAUGUUUCGUUGAUCCAAGGCGCGUCGAGGCUUGAUCUUGGAUGAACAGUUGGAAGUUUCUUGGCAGGGCCGUGGGCUUGAUCUUUGAAGGUGGAUUUGAGCGGAUCUUCAAGGGGCUUUUGGGCUUGAUCUUGAAGAACAGUGAUGAAUGGAUCUUCAAGGGCUUUUGGGCUUGAUCUUGAAGGACGGUUGGAUGUGUGGAUUUGUCGACGUUUGUUGAUCCAAAGGGCCGUUGGGGCUUGAUCUUGGAAGAACGAUGAACGAAGAACACUUUCUUCAAGGGCCGUCGGGGCUUGAUCUUGAAGGUGGAUGAUUGUUGAUCCAAAGGGCCGUUGGGGCUUGAUCUUGGAUGAACGGAUGAUGAACGAUGGUGCUUUCUUCAAGGGCCGUCGGGGCUUGAUCUUGAGAGAGCGAUGGACGAAGAACGAAGAGAGCUUUCUUGAUUCUUCGGGAACCUGGAUGCUUGAGAGCUUCGGAGUUUCAGAGCUUCAGAGCUUCAAGGUGUAAUAUGAAUUGGUUCCCCUAAAUGAAUGAAAUGGGCUUGUAUUUAUAGAAUUUUCCAAUGCCUAAUUUUGAAUAUAAUAUCCCAGAUGAAAUAAGUCGUUUCUGCCAGGUGUUGACACGUGUCCUAUUUGAUGACUUUUCCAACUCAUUUCAAUUUUCGUUGAGUCACACGCUACGUGUAAAAUUUAUGUAAUACAUGAGCGUUGACACUUUGAUUUAUCGGUCAAUAUUUAUUUACGAAAUUUCGAUGUCUACAAUAAGUUGUUGUAGUUUUUAAAUUUAAAUAAUAAAUUAUGUUUGGCCCUAUGGCCCUCGGUUGGAGACGGUUUUUUGUGACAGGGCUAAAACGAGCCCUCUGGCCCUCUAGCCCUCGGUUGGAGACGGAGGCAAAUAUGACCAUGUACUGUUCAUUAAAAUAUUAAUAUCUUGGGAAAUCUUGGAGGACCAGAGGGCUAAAACGAGCCCUUUGGCCAGCCCUUGGUUAGAGAUGGCCUAAGAGAAUAUAUAAAGAAAGGAUAAGCUAGAAUUAUUUUCCACAAGGUAUCAUGUUAUUAUUAUUAUACAUCAUGUACCAACUGCAGGAAUGUAAUUCUUUUAUCUCCAUCCAAUAUGCUCUCUCCUAGUCCCAUGAUUCUUUUUUUCUGUUUUAUCCUCCAAUACUGUCACUUUUACGUCCAUAAUCAUAUGCUUCUGUUUUAAGAUAGCAAGAUGCUAUAUUCUUGGACAUGGUAUUAUAUGUGCUUUCUAGACAAAAAGCUAUUCCUUUCAUUUUAACUUUUUUGGAUUGCCUAAUUAUUUUAACUUAAUUCAACGCAAAUUCGCAAAUGGUGAAUCGUCCUAGUUAUGGAUGCAAAUUUCCGCCUUUUUUUUGGGACAAAAUUGCACCUACAAAACAAUCAAUACCUUAGGUUAAGGUCAAGAGUCUCACACGCCCACGAUGAAUUUUGGGGGGGUGGGCUUUAGCUGAAGAACUUCCGAUGCUAAAGUUAGAAUUUGAGGGAAAAAUAUUUAGAGAAAUUUGGAGAAUUUAGUAAGAGAGUUGGACUUAGGUUUUUGGAGAAAUGAUGUGGUAUUUAUAGGGGUGUGGCCGGCCCCUUGGGGAGAUUUGAUGAGGAUGGAUGAAGUAGGUUUUGAAUAAAUAUCUAUUUUGAUCACUUUUGACCUUGAUUGAGUCAUGAUUAUCCGCUGCUUGCACGUAGGAGCUUCGAUAUGCCUUGAGGGUAAUUUUGUCUUUUUCACCCCCCAAGAAUCCACGUGUCGCAUCCAUAUUUUUCUCGAUUAUUUUUUGUUCCACAAAUGCCCCCACACCUAAUGGGCUACUUGUAGGAAAUGGCAACAGGUGUAGAGAUCUUCUUGCUUUAGGAAACAUAUGAUUGUUUCCUAUUUUGAUGUAGAUUCCCUCUUUAAUUGGAAAUUAGAUCAUUCUAGGAAAGGAAAAUAAAUUUCUCCCAAAGUCUAUUUAAGUCUACCUUAAGUAGAUCAUUAAAUCAACUUUGGAGAGUGAUUUAUUCUACCCUAUAAGAGAGAGAAAGUUAGAGGAUAUUUGUUCCCCCACCCCUAGCAAUCUUCUACACUUGCCUGUGCGAAGGCAUGUCUUUCGUUGCUUUCUUCGUAUUCAUGUCGCGCCAAGGUAAGAAAAAAUUAAUUUUCCUUGUCUUCGUAAUUUUUGGGAGCCUCGGGCUUGAAAUUUGGCUCGUAAAGGGUCGAUGAUGUGCAAAAGUCGGUGGGAGGAGGCCACAGUAGGGCUGUCGUGGGUGGCUGGUCUUCGUUGGUCCUGGUACGGUGGUGUGGGUCGAGGAGGCUCGGGCCUCCUUUUUUUUUUUUUUUUGCUACAAGGCUUGGGCCCGUGCUUGAAAGGAGGUAUGGUGGGCUGCGGGCCACUGGGCUUGGCCCACUUGAACUAUCUUAGGCCGAGAUCUGCUGGGCUUGGUCUUACUAGGCUAAGGCGUGCGUUGGGGGGCCUGUCCCCUUACUACUAUCUUGGGUCGAGAAGCCAGGCUUGCCGAGAGAAUUUUUUUUUUCAAGCCAUCAUCUAACGAAUUUUCUUCGCGUCUUUGUAGAAUUUCUUCAAGCAUGUCUUCCUCAGGCCACAAGAGUGAUGAUGGUGUGUCGUCAUUUUAUUGUCAAGGUAAUUCUUUAAGCAAUGUAGGCUACUUUAAGGUUGCUCACUUCAAAAUUGGCUCCGAUGACUUGUUCAAGGACUUUCUCAACGCAUAUAGGCAUGCCAUUCCAUCAGGGGUGCAAGUGAAGCGCGUCAAGAAUGGUAGCAGUGAGCCAUAUAGUGGGGCUUAGAGAGCCAUCAAGUUCCACAUUUUCUAUUUUGUAUUGGGAUUUACUUUUCUCAUGCCACGUUUUUUCCAAGAAGUGCUCUACUCCAUGAAGUGUGCCCUUAUUUAAUGCUCUUCAAAUGCGAUCCGUUUGAUGGUAGGAUUUCUCAAUCUAAGCUAAUUCUUUGACUUAGAUUUAACCAUCAACGAAUUUUUGUACUUUUUUGACAUAAGCCACAUCGAGGAAGUUGGGUAGCUGCGAUCCCGCCAUAAAUUCUUUUAUCAUUCGAGCAAGGGAGAUCAUGACUCGGCCAAAGAGACUUCAGAGAUAAGUGGAGAAUGGGAGUCUGAUUCUUCCCCCGAGUUGCGUGUUCCAACGGUCUUCAUAUCAGGUAAGUAGGUUGUUUAAUCUCUUGAUUGCUUUGUAUUUGUGCUAAGCUGCUCUCUAAUUUUCUAAUUGUCUCAUGCUACUUUUAUAGAUUCAGAAUUUGGCUCAACUCAUAAAGCUUCUCUGGACAUGAAGAAAGUGUAUGUCGCUCUGGGUAUCCUUUUCAAUUACCAUGAGUGGUGUUGGCUGCUUAGUUAUCUUCGUUGGGAAAAAGAUGGGCUGCCCCCAAGAGAAGAGAUAAAACAGAUCAAGGCGGAGGCAUUAGCCCGUUCGAUCGUCGUUGUGGAGCCUGUUGUAAGUGAAGGUGGGAAAAAGAGACAUUCCCCGCCUGCUCAAGAGAUAUCGCUUGAGAAAAAGCCAAAGACUUCUUUCGCUGCUCAUGAGGGUUCGCUGGCUGCCCCCAAGCUUAUUAUUGACUUGACUUCUCCCAAGGGUGAGAAUGAUAAGGUUGCUAGAUCUGUGCCAGUGACGCCUACCAUUCUAAAGGUGGCUAGUUCGAUUGCUGAUAGGAUUGCUCAGCGUAGAAGUACCACCAUGCCCCCAGUGCCAAAAUUUAUGUCAAAAUAUCUGUUUGGGGUUACGUCUGGAUCACAUUUGGAGAGGCUUGCUAUUAUGAAGAGUGACAAGGUGCCUUUGCCUGCUAAAGUGGCACAAAAACCCGUUCCCUCUGUUGCUGAGACCCAUUCGUCUGCUGAGAAGAAGGAUACUGUUCGUGCGGGCAGUUGUGAAAAAUCCAUCAAUUUUGUUUCUAGGGAAGCUGCUGAGAUUUGUGCGUUUUUCAGACCAAAUCUGCUCGAGGACAUGGAUGUGUGUACCAAGUUUGUUGAUGGUGUUAUAUGGGUUGUUGGCAUGAGUUCUUUUGCUAAGCAUACAACCGAGUAUAGGAGGACCGCUCUGCUGGCUAUGAUAUAGAAAACGACGAUUCUAGCAGUCGAGUCUAUAUUCCUUGAUUAAGAGGAUACCAAGGAGAUGGCAAAAAAUGUGGUAGCUGAAGCUUACUCCUCGGCUGAGAAAGUCAAGAAGUUAGAAUCUAACCUUGCUGUUUCAAAGGGGUCUAAUAUCUCUGCCCCCAUCUCUACAACUUGAGACCACUCGUUAAGAGAUCGUGGAUUUGAAGACUAGGUUUGAUGCGAUCCAAGUAAAGUAUGAAAGUGCAUAGAAGGAGAUCAGGUGUUACAUAAGUGCAGAUAAGAAGAUCGGGUGUUACAUACCUCAUAUUCAAGGCCUUGAGCGUACCGUCUCUGAGCUCUGCUCUGCUGUUUACACAAAGGAUGAAGAACUGAUCGCUGCUUACAACCAAGUGAUCCACUUCAAGAAUGUUGUUGAUAAGCUUAAGCCUUAUGUGUUGGAACUCCAAGGUGUUUUGAAGAUCAGUGACAGUUUGAAGAAGGAAGUGGAGGAGUUGUAGUGGGUCCGUGCUUGUCUGCUCGAGGAAAAUGAGUAGUUGAAGGGUGAGAAGGCUGGGUUUGACGCUUCGAUUACUCAGAGUCAAGCUGGGUUAUGUAAACCAUCUCUUUGGGCGGCCAUCUAACUUUGAGUUUUUUGGUAAAGAUUUCGAGACCUUUUCUAUUUCUCCAGAAGACUUGGUCGCCUUUACUUUUGAGGCUUCUAUUGGUGAAGCAGUCGGAGAUGAUGGUGUCUAUGCUGAGGCAGCUGGGGGUGAAGCGAUAUACGGUGCCGUUGCUGAGAGCGUCGCGGCUACUGAAGGUGUGGCGAACGAGUAGUUGUGAGAUGUCCAAGCUGCAGAAAAUUAGUCUUCUAGGUACCCUUUAAGAUUUUCUUUGUUUUCCUUGUUGCUUUUUUCUUUGCUUAAACUCAUUCGGUCUUUGCUAGUCGUUUAUUAAUUUUGCUAGAAAAUUUAAUAAACUUGCUUCAUUCGUUUUUUUCCAUUUUCGCUUCUUUUGUUCAUGCCUUAACCUUUAGACUUUAUAGACCAGUGGUGGGCGUGCUACUUUUCUAUAAGCAGACAAGCCCGCGUAGCCUAUGUAGCCAUAGGUGUUGGUGUAGAACUUUGCAAAGUUGUUAGCCAUAGGGUUGGCAGCCAAAUGCCUUACUUACAGAAACAGAGUUCAUGUAACCAUUAAGCUAUUAACCUUGGCUUUCUCCAAUUCUGUAGGUUGCGUAGCAAGUAUCACAACACUUUAGGACUUGGUGUAGAUUGUUCUGCGCUUUGGCAGAAAUGAAGCUCAUCGACUGCGUAGCAUGUCGGUAAUGGAUGAAGUUUUUUAUACGCGCGCUAACUUGUUUAACCUCUCACAUAAACGUGCGGCUGUAUAAGUUUAGUGUGGCGUACAACUCGAAGGGCAAGCCGUAGGCAGUUUUCUGGAAACCGUAUGCUACUUUAGUGCAUUCGAUAGAAACUUUAGGGUUCCAGGGCAGCCGUCCAUAGGGCGUACUGUGUAAUGCACCUCAUCCGUCUCUAGGGCCCGGUUCCCUGCGGAUUAGGCCAAGAGACCUAAAAUCCUUCAAUUAGCUAAGCCUUGAAAAAGAUGAUUGUGGUUACUUCUAGGAAUCUCGACGCAAGCCAUCAUGCAUAUAGUUAUACUAGGGCAACCCGGCUCAUCCACGUCUGGAUAUUCAGAGUGUAGAGUUUAUCCUUCCGAUUUGGUGAGCAAACCCAUGUGGGUGUCGCGGAAUUGGUUUACCCUUUCGUACUGGAGAGCAUGGUUGGUCCCUCAAGGGGUGUAAUUCCUGAGAUGAGUCUCUAAGAAGGGUGCGGUCUUCUUUUGAAAUGUAGGAGUGAUCAAUUGUUGUAGACAUGUAGUCGAGCAAAGUUGUAAAUUACUUCUGAAUUCCUCAUUAAAAAACAAGUGAAACGAACAAAAACUUAACUGUAAAGUAGAGACUGCAUAACAACUAGAUAGUCAUCGGCUCGCGAGGUGGUGCCCGUUGAGCUGCUUCAGUUCUUCGGGCUUUGAUGUAGUGAGAGGUCAUACAUGGUACUUCCUUAGAUUGUAGGCGUUCCACUACUUUUCGAUCUCUUUGUUGUUCAUGGUGGUAAGGGUGUAAUUACCCUUGCCGCCUACUCUACUAAUCUUGUACGGACCUUCCCAAAUGUGAUCCAUCUUUUUGGAACCUUCUCUGCAAGUAGUGAUGAAGGCUUUUCUUAGGGCUAGAUCUCUGAGUUGGAACUACCAGAUCUUGGCCCUUUUGUUGUAGCUAGAGAAGAGCUGUUGCUGGUAGGCUGCGAUGUGGGUGAUGGUCUGCUCGCGCUUCUCUUCUUCCAGAUCUAAGCUUGUGGCCAUCUCUUUACUGUUUUGCUCAACGUUUGGCAGUAGAGUGCUAAUACUUAGUACGAUGACAUUGGGAUGAAUGAUUGCUUCUGACCCAAAUGCCAAAGAGAAAUGAGUAUCACCAAUUGCUUGUCUUUUGGUGGUGCGAUAUGCCUAUAGACAUUCAGGGAGAUCGUCUGGCCAUUUUCCCUUCUUGUCGGUGUGGGACUUCUUGAGGCAAUUGAGGAUCGUCUUGUUGGAUGCUUCAGCCUACCCAUUCCCUUGAGGAUAUCUCUGUGUGGACAUAUGCUGCUUAAUGUCAUACUUUUGGAAGAACUUCGCCAAAUCUUUGCCCACGAAUUACGGGCCGUUGUCGGUAACGAUGGAUUGAGGAAUGCCAAAUCGGCAAAUGAUAUUCCUCCAUAUGAAGCGCUUUAUAUCCGUCUGAGUCAUGGUUGUCAUGGGCUCUGCUUCUACCCAUUUAGUGAAGUAAUCGAUUACCACGAUCAUCAUGCCUCUGCCCUUAAUAGCGGGUGGCAUUGGCCUUACCAAGUUGAUUGUCCAUUGCAUGAACGGCCAGGGACUUGUUUGUGGGUGUAGUUCGCUGGUAGGCAGUGUUGGUACCGGCUUGUAGCGUUGGUAACGGUCGUACUUUUGCACUAACACCUUAGUGUUUUAAUGCAUGGUAGGCCAGUAGUAGCCUGCGUUAAGAGCUUUAUGUGCUAAGGAUCGGCCUUCGGAGUGAUUUCCAAAAACGCCUUCGUGGAUUGAGCUUAGUUUCUUUAGGUCGUCGGGAGGCACUAGGCAGCGAAGAUAUGGUCCGGUGUAGGAUCUUCGGACAAGAAUGUCGUUCUACAUGUAGUAGCGUGUUACCUUUAUUUGGAGCUUUCCAGACUCCAACCUUUCUGUGGGAAAUGUGCCAUUGACUAGGUAGUUUAUAAUAGAACUGUGCCAGUUGGAAGUUAUACUAACUUGUGACACUUUGGCUGCCGGCUCUGCCUCUAUGCUUGGCUUGUCUAGAUACUCCACCGGAAUAGAGUGUUUGAGUUGGAUUUAAAUUGUCUUCCAUCUCUUAGUAUAAAUUAGUGUAAAAGGUAAAGAUGAAUUACUUGUUAAGUAAACUUUUUUUCCCCUUAAAAAUGGACUAAUUGGUGGCUGCUCCAUUGCAGUCCAUCCUUUUGGGGGAGGAGAAGACUCACAGAGGUAUUUCAGUCUCUUUUUGACCACCAUCGUGUGAUUCACCAAGAUCAGAAAUCGAACCCAAUAUAUGCUGUGUGAAAUACAUUUAUGUUAUAUCUAAUAUUUUCAAAAUAAUAAUUCACUUUUAUCGUGAAUAACUUAAAAAAAUAAAUUAUUCAUUUGAAUCCAAUCCAAAUUAAGAAAAAUGCCUAAGAAAGAUCACUUCCAUGAUUAUUUCUUGCGAUUUAAAUUUUUAAAAGAUGACAUUAUGCAUGACUAACUAUUAAUUUGAUGUCGAAUAUGUACAAACUAAUGGGUCACAUAAGCUGCAUUCAUACUAGGCUUUUCAGUCAAAAUAGUCCUUAAGAUUUGCAUAACUCUUCACUUUGAUCUUUGAGAUUUAAAAUCAAUAGAAGUAGUCUCUGAGUUUGUUCACCAUCAAUCAUUUUGGUCAUUCCAUGAAAAAUCUCUAUUAAAUAAGGCUAAAAUGACAAAAAUACUCUAAUUUUUGUCAAAUCAUUUGGCCAAUUGUUUAUUAAAUUGAGGGGUUUUUAUGUCAUUUUGGUCUUUAUUUAAUAUAAUUUUUCAUGAAAUGACCAAAAUAAUUGAUGGUGGACAAACUCAUGCACCACUUUGAUGUCAAGAUAACGUCACCUUCACAAAAACCCUACUCAUAUAGGCAUAAGAUUAUUGUGAUCAACAGCUGGAUCCAAGGGAUCGACUAUCAUACUAAUGUAAACCAUAUGAAUCAAAGAACGUAGGGAAAAAGAAAGUGGGGCCAAAAGUGUUGAAGUUUAGGGUGGAGUGAAGCCAAAAUAUGUAGCUUCCCAAAGCUAGAAAAGAUCGAAUAUCAUGCAUGCUUAAUGGAACUACUUUGGACUCCUUUGCAACCAAAGCAAGUGUCUCGGAAUCUUCUCACCCUCAAACAAACACAUAAAAGACAAGCUUUUAGUGGAGGACAGCGAUAUGAAAACCCUACUAUAUAAUCCAAAUCGUCCUGUUCCUUGUUCUUCGAGCAGAAGUAACGCACUAUUAUUAAGUUCUCAACUAGCUAGUUUUCCAGUACGAGUUUUUGCAGACCUGUAGUCCCAUGCACUUGAAACUGUGUAGUUUUGAAGGCCUAUAACUUGUGGAAAUGGGGCACAUUCUUUCACGAAUAUAGCUAUUUGUACUAGUAGAUGAGGACUUGAGGAGUGCAUUAUGUCCCACACUUGCAAUAGUUGCUAUGUGUGAUGAGUGUAAAUGAUAAAUAUAUACCUGUAAAAGAAAGAUAUACAAGACAAUAAUUAUUUGGUUUUUAAUUUUACUUUUUGGAUUGGAAAUACGAGUAAAAUAUAUAAGAGAACAAAUACAGAUGAAAGAAUGAAAACAAAAUUUAGAACGUGAAAACAAUUUAAAACGAUUUUUAUUUUUAGUUUUCAUUUUGUUUGUCUUUCAUUCCUCUACGUUUUUAGUUCACUCAUUUCUCUCAUGUCUUUAUCCUCUAAAGUCAAACGAGCCUUAAUUUUUACAAUAGAGUAUUUAUUUUUUAUUUGGCCAAUAGUUAUGUCAUGUUGUUUAAACUACGGUAGUUAAAUGUCGAAGAUAUAUGUCUGUAAUUUAAAUGAUUAAGACCAUUUACCUCUAAACAUGAUAUAAAAAGAUCAAUAUUCUAAUCCACGCGAAAUUAGUUCAUGUGAAGAAAACUAAAAAGACUCAUAUACAUAGAUAACAAAUUAACAUAACAUUAUCAACUAUUAAACUUAAACAAAUUCAAAUAAUUGCCUUGAAUUGGUCUUUUGAUGCUCGACUUGAAAAUCUAUAUUUUUUUGUCAAAUACAAGUAUGUAGAUCAUAUCUUGCCACAUCAAAUACACCUAAGGAAAACGAGUUUUCCUCGUCAUCGAUUACCAACUUGUUCUCUUGGUAGAAGGAUUCUCAAUGGGCAAAUCGAGGAAGAACAUAAGCACCCAUAGCCAUAUAUAGGCAUACAUAUCAGUAUAUGUCACCUUGACUGGACCAGCUCACGAGAACCUGAUGAUCAGGACCACUAAUUAAAACUUUGAUUAUUAUUAUUAUUAGUUUUAUUUAUUUGAUUUUGCUUGAGGACCAUUGAGUUAGGUUUUGGAUAAUGAUGAUAAUUUGUUGGGAUUGGUCAAUGGUCCCCUGGCAACAAGCUAAUCUUAGUAGAAUGAUGAUGACAAUUCAAGCUGUUCCCCUUCUUGGGGUCUUCCUUCCCACUUGUGUAGUUUGUACAUGUGUUUUAAUUAAGUAAUAAAUCAGGAUUAAUUUUGUAUUGACUCAAUUUUAGGUGAACUUGUCUCCUUUACAUUUUACAUUGUAUAUUUAACAUCAAUCAUAAUUUCCCACACUAUUUUUUGUACCAUAAGUACAGUGUUGGUGAGCCUGUCACACGUACCAUUGUAUAUUUAACAUGUCACUGUUUACUAGAAGGAAACUUCACUCUAUUUUCUUUUAGUUAAGGUAAUAUUAUUAUAAGUUCUCACUCGGUUUUGGCAUCGGUGUUGUUUGAUUGAAUUUUGGUUUCAGUUUUUGCAGCUUUAACAUAUAAUUUAAUUUUUUAGCCAUUUCAGGACAAUAAUGUGUAAAAUUUAAAUGAUAUGCGAAAUGAAUGACUGAAGUUGAAAAAAAUAUAUAAUUUAACAAUUUUUUACAUUAAUUUAAUGAUUAUAACAUUUUUAAUACUGAGCACUACGUGAAUUGAAGUGACACCUAUAAAUUAAUCAAACAAAAUAAGACAUUAUAAUAUUUGCAACUUGUAUAAUUGCAAGGCUUAUCAGUCGAAUGCCCCCUAAAAAUGUCAUUGAGUCUCAGUUUACCCUCUGAAACUAGUUUUGUCUCAUUUUGCCCCUUAACCUGAUUUUUUCAACUCUUUUGUCUCAUUUUACCCACUUCAACUCUUUUGUCCCAUUUUACCCACUUCAACUCUUUUAGACAUUUCAUUUUUUACACAUGUAUUUACUUCCAGCCUACACACUAAACAAGUCUCAAUUUUAUUUUUGAAACUCUAAUUCAAACCCAUAAAUUUUGGACAUCUUCAAAAAUAAAUUAUUCAGUCAAUAGAAAAUUUUCGAGCAACAAAAUCAUUGUAUCAACCAAAAUAAGGGUUACAUUUUGUUCGUAGAGUCAUUUCACUUGCAAGACAUCCAUGUAUUGGCUCGAAACUUUGCAAUUGAAAAAAUAUUCAUUACAACAAAAUCAUUAUAUCAUUAAGCUAUCAUAUCCAAAAUACUUCACAAACCAAAAAAAAUCAUUUAAAGCAAAUGUGCACAAUUUGAAACAAAAAAAUGUCACAUUGUUGAAUUCUUGGGUUUGAAUUAGAGUUGAAACUGUUGAAUUUAUGAGUUUGAAUUAGAGUUUCAAAAAUAAAAUUGAGACUUGUUUAAUGUGUAGGCUAGAAGUAAAUAAAUGUGUAAAGAAUGUAAUGUCUAAAAUACUCUUAAAUUCAACAGUCCAUUAACAGAAGUGGGUAAAGUGAGACAAAAGAGUUGAAAAUGUCAAUUUUAGAUGGCAAAGUAAGACAAAACCAAUUUCAGGAGAUUAACUGAGACUCAAUGAUGGACUAAUAAGCCUAAUUGCAAACCUUACGUAUACCUACACCAGAGGAAGCCAAGAAAUUUCAACCCAUUCCUUUCGUGUUCAAGGAAAGCCUACUAGAUCCAAAUGGACUAAGCACAUCGCAACAGCUGUAUCCCUGUACUAACGUACAAAACAUCCCAUGUAAAAAUGGCAGCUCUCCCUCUCUCUACUUCUGCUAACUUCUCUGCCCUUGUUACUACUCACACGCAGACACAACGCUCACUGUCGUGGCCAAUUCUUCUGAUAAGCUGCUAACAAAAACCUUACAAUUAUAUAUAUAUGGAUACAUCGCGGUGUUAUUACAGAUCCAAACAAUAUGGCAAACAAAAAGCACACCCCACGAACGAGGCCAAGAGAUAAUAAGAACGAGACCCAUGACAUAUCAUUGUCUAGCUGUACUAUAUUCAUCAUGAUGCAGGCAUGGUUUUUGGACGUUCUAGACAUGCCAAUGUUGUAAAUAUAUAUUCCGUUCACACUCUUUACUAUUAUUUUUUAACGUUUUAUAUCAACAUCUUAUAUGUUAGUCAUUUUAAUACGUCAUAUCGUCCUAUAUUCAACAUGAUGCAUCCAUAGUUUUUGGAUGUUGUACACAUGGCAAUUUCAGUAAUUUACUGUUCACAAUCUUUAAUAUCAUUUUCUAACGUUUAUCAUCAACAUCUUAUAUGUCAGUCGGUUUAACACGUUAUAUCGUAGGUUUGACAUUGUCAAAAACUAAAAUUUAAGCUUUUUACUAGUCCAAACUCUUAGGAGGGCACGAUGAAUAAUGCAUAGUGACUUUUCAGGGUUUGCCAGCAUCUCUGCAGAUAAUAUUAUUUUGCCAUGCAAUCUAACACGUUAUGUUAGAUUGUCAAUCUGAAAAGAUCAAAACAUAAACAAAAAGUAUACAACGCAGAAUGUGCCCGGCUAAUGACCUUUUAGGGUUGUCAACAUGUUUCGAAUACAAGUAUAUAACUAUUCUCUUGCCACACAUCUAACAUCUAACAUGUUAUAUUUUUACACAAUCAAUCUUACGAAACCGAGAUAUGUCCUUAUCCUCGAAAAGUUUUGAUCAAUCAAAAGAAAAGUGUGAUAAAUCCCUCAUAAAUAACACACAUACAUUGCAUGAUGACUAAUUAUAAUGACGACGUGCUAGUUCUACUACCACAGCUGUAAAGAAUUUUCGUUCCUUCAAAUCUAAUUAACCAAAUACCGCGUUGUUUAAUUAAUUAGCAGCCUGCAUGCAUGGUCCCUAUAUAUAUAUAACUGAACCUCGUGAAGAAUAUAAUUAAUCGAGAUUAAGCUGCCAAAUUGCCAGUUAAUCUACACAUUUUCCUCCUCAUCCUCCGUCUCUUUCCUUCCUAGUUCGUACCGAUUCCGCGUAAAAGUGACUUAUUGUAAAAGCACCUUCUUUAUAUCCGUCAACACAGUGACUUAAACACACAGAUAAAGUAGUUGACAUCAAAUAUCUUUAUACCAUCCAUGCACACAAACCCCAUCACGGAAAUAUCUAAUAUUUUCAACAGUCAACCCCAAACCAAAGUCAAAAAAGUGACCGGCCUCUUGUUAAUUAUCUGGGACCAGAUCCUCUCCUGAUCUAAGAAUGAGGAUCCUCCUCAUCAAGAUAUGUAGGCCGUUGGAUGAAAAUUCAACGGUUACAAUUAUUAUAACUUUAAAAGGAUUCCCUGUUUGUAACUGUUAGAUUUUCAUCCAACGGCCUACACUGAUUAAUGAGGAAGAUCCUCAUCCUUAGCUCAGGAGAGGAUCGUGGUCCAAUUAUCUGAACACCAUUGCCACUUGCUUCUUAUCUCUCCUUUGGUGGUCUUCUACUACCAAGCUUUUCAACUCACAAAGUAAUUGCUCUACUAAUAUCUAAUAAAGUACCCAAAAUACCCCAAAAUAAUGGAUCAUUAAUCAUCUAUCAUUGUAAUCUUUUCAAUGAGUUUUAACGAAACACUUCCAGUAUUGUUUAUUUUUAACAAAAAAAUUAUAUUUUUACUUUUUUAACUUUAUUUUGGUGUCCAAAAUUUUGGACACCAAAAUAAAGUUAAAAAAGUAAAAAUAUAAUUUUUUUUGUCAUUUUUCAUUUUUGUCAUUUUUUUGUCAUUUUUCAUUUUUAUUUUUGUCAUUUUUUUGUCAUUUUACAUUGAUGACUAUUUACUAUACAUUUCUUUGUCAUUUUUUAUUAAAAUUAAAUUUUUUUUUAACUUUUCAUUAGUUUUCCUAUCUUUUUAGUGUUACAUCAAUGUGAUGGAAAUUGGGGUCGGAUAUUAAGACAGGAUAAAAAACCGACGUCGUGACACUGAAGUUUAUAGUGCGUGUGAAAGAUAUGAGCUACAGAAGUAAGAAUACUUUGGAAUUAUGAUCUACUUUGACGAAGGGUUCAGUGAAUAUAUAAAGAUGAAAUACCGUUUUAGGAAAGUUGCAACUUCCCCCAAGACAUAAUCAUUCAUAUAUUUUGAAUUAAUUAAUUAAUUAACUAAAUAAAUAAAUAUAUCAUUUACUUUAAUAAUUAAUUAACUUAUUUUCCCUUUGGUUAUGUGUCUAUGGAUACACCAGUGUUAAGUGUACAUUCACAUAUAAUUACACACAUUGUAAAAAUUAUUUUAUCAUAAUCAUAUUCGAAUUAAAUCUUAGAUUUGCGUCUAAAACUACUUGGUUUCAACUUUUGCUAGAAUUAUUAUCUUUCUUACAUGAAUUCUAUAUACUAAGUUCAAACCCAAAGCAUUAACCUUAAACUUGAAUCGCAGAUUUUAUUUGUAUUGCAAAUGUAAUUUGGAUAAGAAAUGCAACUAAGUAAAAAUCAAGAGGGUAAUAGAUCCAAAAAAAUGUCCGAUAGUUUCUCAAAUCAUGCACGAACAUCACCUAUGUGUAAAGCAAGAUGAGUAAGAUAAGUAACACUUUUAACGAGUCGAGUGUAACCAAAUAUUACUCUACUCGAAUUUAACUUUUUUUAGUACAAAUUGAUUUGGCUUUCUUCUUGUACGAGCAUAUGCUGUUCAAUUCUCCCAAAGACAUGGUAUAAAGUUAUUUUAAUCAUCAUCAAUUAAAUUAUUUUAAGUACACUUUUGGUUCCUACAAACAAAGAAGUACCCUUUUGGUUUUUGCUUUUGUCUACACCCCUUUUAGGGUUUUUUUUUUCACCACAGACCAGCUAAUGGCUUCAUAACGGUAAUUCACUAUUUUUAGACUCAAAAAGCUCACAGACAUUUAACUUCUCCUAACCACAAUCAUAUGAUUCAUUAACGCUCGCAAUUGAACCUCGAACGUGCUAUGUGAAAUAUAGAUCUAAAAUUCGUCCUCAACUAGUCUACACUCCGUGAUUGUUACUUUUUAGUUAUUUUGAUUUGCAACAUUAUUUUUUAAUAGCACAUUAAUUAUUUGAGAUAACCAUCUAAAUAAACUAAUAUUUGGUUGAGAUAGCUAUCUAAUUAUUUAAUAUUUGGUGAAGUGUAACGUACGCAGAGUUCCAAAAAUUAACUUAAUUAAGUAUAUGCAUCUGUUCUGUCAAAUUUAAAUUUUGGACACCAAAAUACUCGUUUUUAUGGGGAACAUUUUGUUUGUUUGUUUUUUUUUUUUUUUAAUUCAAUUUUCUCAAAACCAUCAGGGUAAAAUUGUAACACCACCCCAAAAUGGUUAGGGGACAAACAAAUUAAACUCCUAAACAAAAUUAAGCAAAUCUAGCCACCCACUAAUCACAUCCAAAUCGUUACAAUCUAUUUACACAAUUACCCAUCUUAUUUCCCAAACUACCCCUACUCCGGAAUUGCACUCAACUCCGCCGCAAACCGUCCAUUUCCACCACUAUCCCUCCGCCUCCUCGACCCCCCACUGGCCACCACUCUCCGGCGAUCCUUCACCUCCACGCCGGAAAAUAUCAGUGGAGACACCGAAUUCCGGCGACAUCCACAUUUUUCGCCGCCACUCUUCAUAAGCGCGGAGCUGGCUUUUACGGCCAAUGCGGCCAUCUCCUCCGCUUGCAGCGGGUGCUUGAGCCAGCUGAGCGGCAAGGCAAAGUAGAGCUGUCCCGGCUGGAGCACCUCGUUAUCACUGACGGCCUGAAGGACGUCGUCGAAGUCCAUCUCGUCGGAGUUGCAGAUGAAGCAAGUGGGGUUCUUUUGGAGCACGUAGGAAACCUUUACCGGGUACGGGAAUUCUUGUAAAUUUCCGUCCUGUAGAAUCAGCUUGGCGGUGGCCACUUGGGUCGACCCGGACGAGCUGCAAAUACCCAUUUGGGUCGAAAUCGGAUCGUUGGAAAAUGGCUGAGAAUUUGAGGUGUGUCUUUUUAGAGAUAGAAAUUAGAGAGAGGGCAUGAGAUAUUUGGUGGAGGAGGGAGAAGCACGGAGGGUGUAGAGAAGAAAGAGAGUCAAUAUAUAGAGAGAAAAUGAGGUGGUGGGGCCUCGUAAUUUGAACCUGGAUACCACGUAGGAUAUUUGUCGUUUAGCUAAGCAUUGUUUUUUUUUUUAUCAGUGGGCUUUGGCCACAGCCAGGCUGUAAGUUGGUGGUGGUGACAGGUUGUAAUCGAUUUUCUGAGAGUUUUUUUUUUAAUUUUUUUUUUUUUUUGUCAAAUAUUUUCUGGGAGUUUAGAAUUGGGAUUAACUUGCGGUUAAAGCACCUGCCGCCACUGACUCGGGCUUUUAGUCUUGGCUUUUGGGGUAAUUUACGAGGAGGAGAAUUUUUUUUUAACAUAUAUGACUUACUGGUUAAUUUCAAAUCUUAAAUCGACCAUUGUUAUUCGAAGUUGAGGAGGUAAUUUUGUGAUUUGUGUGCUUGGCAAGGAUUAUGCAGAAGAGGUUUGACGUUUGUUGGAGGUAACUCAUAACAAGAUUUUUUGCAUGUGAUUGCAAGCUAUGAAUGAAUGAUGUGUUCUUUCUUUCGUGGGGUCUUUUCAGCGCUUUGAGGGAUUCACAAUCAUGUUUUCUUGUCAUUGCAAACUCUUCGGCGAUGGUAUGAUAGUUACCUUGUGUGUCUUGACAGUGUUAUGUUUGAUGACUCAUAGGGCUUAGGCCUUGUGAGUUUAUCUUUCAUGUGAUCGAGGAAUCAUACAUUGAAGAGUUUAUUUUGUACUGUGUUGUGAUUUUGUUGUCUGUUCGCUUAGCAAAAGACUAUAGGAACAUCUUCGAGAUGUCUCAUACCAAGGCUUCUUGCCGAAUAAGCGUUGUCUUUUACAAGUUCAUCAUCAACACAUGGUGUAAGGUUUUAUCUUCGUAAGAGUUACCUUUCCGUUUGGUUAGAUGGGUUUAUGUGGAGUAAGUUUUAAUUUUCUUUCUGUUGCGUUUAUAAACAUAAAAUUGUAUUAAGAAAGUGUGAUGUUCUUUGUUUUAUUUGAUCAAUGAAAGACUUAUCACUUCUAAAAAAAAGAAAGGAAUUGGGGUCCUUAGUUAAAUUGCCCUCUUGGUUGUAUAAAAUUACAAGGGUAGGGACUAGGGUUGGUCAUGAGAUUAGCACAGUUUCUAUAAGUAGAGAGUGAUGUCAAAAGGAUGCUUGUAAAAGGGGGAAGAACUGCUAAACUUGGCAAGCCAUUUCAUGGAUAAUGGGAUUAUGGGAAUGGGAGACCCACCUAAGCAUGAUCAUGAUCAUGAUGGUACUACUAUUUUAUAUCAACCCCUUUUUCUGGGGGGUGCUAAUAUUAAUAUAUGGUUCCAAUUAUAUUUUCCACUUCCCCCUUGUGUUUGUUGUGGGAGAUUUAUUUACUAUUUAUUUUGUUUGUUUUCUGAAUAUAAUGGGUCCACCAAUUGAUUUUGUAACUAAUUAAUUAGUAUUUAAUCUCAAUUUUUAUCAUGAUUAAUCAUGAAACAGAUAGAAGUUUGCUUUUUAAAGAAUAAAAUGUAGAGAGUAUCAUGGAUUUGAUUUGCUAUGGAAUUAAAACCAGAACACAGAAAUGUGAAAACCAUUAACCAUUGGAAGAAGGCAUAUAUAAAAAAAGAAUGUUUAAAAGCAAAUCCUGGAAGCCACGCAGUACUACUAUCUGGUGCUAUUCAUCUUCACUUGUAAGUGAGAGAUCUUAGGUUCGAAUCUUGUGAAUGAUGAAUUCGAUACCAAAUUAGGUUGCCUAUUGUGUGGUUUAGCCGAACUCUCCCUCCCCUAGUAUGAAAUAUAUCGGUGUACCAAAAAACAAAGAAAAAAAAAAGCAAAUCCUGGAAUAAUUUGGACUUACCAAAGAUGUUAGGAACUUAACCUUCCUUAGCCUUGAAGGUUUUGGUCACUUAUGCUUAAACUUUAGGGGUCUUUUAGAUGUUAGAUUAGACUUUAAGAGGUAUACGGCCCUAUAUAUGCUAAUGUGCUACCUUUGGAUGGAUUCCACUAGGUAAAAGGAACUCUGAGUACUUUUUUAAAUGGAAUAAAAAGUCACAAAAUGCUUCUCCUUACAAAGUUACCCCUGGAAAGAACACAGAAAAGCUGAAAAAUAGCAUGCAGAUAUUUGUGAAGAUAAGUAUUAGAGCGAAGAUAAGAACUACGUUUUUUUUUUCCUUUUCAUUUCUGACAUAUCUUGCGUUUACUAAUAUACUAAUAUGAAAAUAACAAAUAUUUAAUACGACAAAGAAUAUUUUUCUUCAUUUAUAAUAAAAUUUUAUAUCCGCCUAAUUCUAUAAAUAAUAUGUUUGGCUCAUUAACCCUAGAAACGCAUACAUAAAACCAAAAGUAAGAAGAGUCCGAAUUUUUUAUUCUAAUUGCGACCCCCAAAAAACCAAACGAAAUCUGUCACAUACAAUUCACAUUGCUAAAACUCCAAUUGUUGGACACAGAUUUUUCACAUGCAUGAAAGGGUUCAUGUCACUCAAGCAUCUCCACUCCCCAGACAAAAUCUGCAGGUGAAUUGUAAUUUAUGGGGGACAAGGAUACUUUCGAGAUUCUUUUUGUAGGGAUUCGAUGAUCAAUUAAUUUUGUUCGUUUAUUUUAUAUUAUACGAUCAAUUUUUAUUAGGUAUUAAUUAUAUUUAAUUUUAAAUUAAAAUUAUUUUGUGGGGAUUCGAUGAUCAAUUAAUUUUGUUCGUUUAUUUUAUAUCAUAUGGUUAAUUUUUAUUAGGUAUUAAUUAUAUUUAAUUUUAUAUUAAAAUUUUUAAAUAAUUUCUAAUUAUAUGUUGUACGAUAAACAAAUACUAUUAAUUGAUCAUUCAAAUCUCUCACAAAGAAUAUCAGAAGGGAUCCUAUUCCAUUUAGGGGGAGAGAGAUGGGGUAAAUUUCAGAGACAACAAAAUGUGAAUAAUUGGGACCAGAAGAGAGUGGGUGGCUGAUGAACUUGCAACGUUUUCUUUGCACUUUUGGCACUUUGCAGGCACAUUGUUCAAAAUUUGGCCCAACUCCAAGGGCAGGGAAAAUUCCAACGAACAAAUAAGAAGAAAAAUAUAAAAUUGGAAUGCAUGAAUGAAGAGAAAUGGAAACGUGGCAGGGUGCGGGAGGAGGUGGUGCGUCGCUACAGUGCACGAGAGAAGGCACGUGGAAAAGAGUAGCCAUGAAAACUGCAACAAGCAAGCUAUAAUUAAGGAUGGAAAAAAAUUCUCAAAAAUUCCGAACCAAAUUGAAAAAAUAUCGAUCCCAAACCGAUUUUCCUAAAAUUUUCGGGAUGCUAUCCUGAAAAAAUACCGAAAUUUCGGUACAAAAAUCGGGAUUGUCUUCCCAAUAAUGAAAAAAUCAUGUUACUUUAUUUUUCAUCCCUGCAACAUAAAGAUAUGAAUGAUUAUGAUAUGUGUUAUGUGUUAUUCUAUUUCAUUGAUAGGAAUCACUUUUAUUGGAAGUAACACAAACACCAGUGUCAAAGUUGUUGAAGAAAGUAAAGAACAUAAACACCAUAAGUGUAAUGAGUAUUUGACAAAAUCACAAAAAGGUAUGUAACUUUUGUAAUAGGUUUGCCUUCUAGUGUAUUCUUAAAUGGUAAAACAACUCCGUUCUAUAGGUUAUAAACUUAUAAAUGCAUCUCAAUACCAAAAAAAAAGAUAUCAUAUAAAACUUAUCCGCGGUUGCACUGGUGGUUGUUUAAGAGUUUAAUGUUGUCUACCGAUAUCGUUUGAUCAAUUCAUGCAUUAUUCCUUCUACCUCCUCAACUUCAUGCCAUGUAACUCAUCGGGAGUAUGAAGUUGAAACUAGUAAUGGAAGAACAAUCACAAAACGAAGGAAAACAAGAAGCACAGUAAUGUUUGAAGUAUGUACCUGAUUAUUUCAGUGAAAAUAUAACAGCUAUGGGAAUUGGGAAUACAGAAUCACCAAAAGCCCAAAAAUAUUUCGGGAUUCCCGAUUGUUCCGAAAUACCGAAACUAUUUUGGGAUUUCCGAAAUUUUGGUUUGAGAUCGAUCUUGAAAUUAAGAAUACCGAAAAUUUCAGUUUGGGAAUUGUCUCUAAGAUUUUAGUUCGGUAUCCCAUACCGAACCACCCCUAGCUAUAACUAAUAAGUAGAUAAUAUAAUGACGUUAAAAUGGUACAUACAAUAUAUAUAUGUUAUUGCAAGGUAUUGAAUCAAGUAUCCGACAAGACAAGCGAUGGCGUAAGCUGACGUGGGUUUGCUGGUUUGAUCCCCGACUGCGCCUGCAAUCUGCAUGCUCACCCAUGCAUCCCGGCGCAAUGCAGCCCUCCUCUCUUUUAACUUAUUUAAUCGCUUCCAAAGUCCGCCGCCCUUUCCUGCUUCCCCGGCGACUCUUAUCAUCCUGCAAUCCACAAACCUCCUCUCUUUUAACUACAAUUCUUGUAUAUGUUUAUUAGUGUUGUUGUGCCACUAUCACUUAAUUACUAUCACUACGUAUGUAUGAUAACUAGGAUGUUGUCUUGUAUUCAUUGUCUUUCUUCUUACGUUGUCGGACUAUGAAUCUAAAUUAUAUAUGCAUCAUAUUAAAGUUAGAUAAUUUAACAACAUAACAUGUUAAAUUCAACAACAAUAUGUCAUCAAUAUCCCUUUUAUUGAAUCUAAAAUAUUCAUUGAGUGGACAUUUAUUUGAAUGUGUAUAUCCAUAUAAAUACUACGACAAUACAAUAUUAUCAUUCAUUGAAUUGGUGAAUCUAAAUUGUUCAUAAGUUUGAAGAUUAUUUGAAUAGUUUGCAUGGAAGUAAAUAAUUCAGAUUUACAUACAUAAUUUAACAGCAUAGCAUGUCAAAUCCUGCAUCAACAUACAUUAUCAUCAAUUAAGCAUGUUAUAUGAAUCCAUUGGCAUUGAAUUUCAUGGACAUUGUUACAACUUACAUCAAUACUUUGACUAGAGGAAUGUAAUUGUAAAAAAUUUCACAUUUUGGAUUUUUAGAGGGUUAAACUUCAAAGUGUGGUUGGAGGAGAGAUUUGAGUUUUUUAAUUUGCUUGUAUGACAAAUGAUAUAAACACAUCCAAAUCCACACUUAAUUUCAACACAUUCUUAAACAAAAGACAAGAAAACAGGAAAUCCAGGAUUUCUUCCAUUUUGGCAUGCAUGCUCAUGUUCUAUUGGAAGAGAGAGAGAGAGAGAGAGAAUGAUCACCAAUUAUGGAUCAUGCACCUACUGGCAAAUAAAUGAAAUAAUAUAUUGAUUUUUUAGUCAAAAUAGUAUCUGAGAUUGAUGUAAUUCUUCAGUUUAGUCCUUAAUGAUGAAAAUCGAUUGAAGUGGGUCAUGUGUUUGUUCAUCGUAAAUUAUUUUAGUAUUUUGUUAAAUUUUCUAUUAGUACGAUGACGUGGGACAUGAGUAGUCUCAAGGACCAUUAAGUAUGAAACUGUCAGCAAAGGGCUCAAACCCUGACAAUACCACACAGGCAAUGGAGUUCGUGAAUUGUGAUGGUCUUUGUUAAUUGUUUUUUAUACAUGUUAAUGUCUUACAUUUUAGAAAAAAAGAGCUACCCACUUGGCCCCCUUGUAUGCUUAAUUAAAUUUAAUAAACCCAAAACCGCUAAAACCCCAUAGUUUGUCAGAAAGAUUACUAACUAAUUGUUUAGGUUUUGAUUAUAAUUAUUAUAAUUAUCAACCUUACUUUAUGGGCCUUAAUUAUUAAAAUGUCCCACAUCAAUUCCCUAACCCUUCUUUCCUUGAAGCUUCUUAGUGUUCUUCUGCACCUCUCCCAGUCGCCCACCAAAAACAGUCGUGCAUGUAUCCCUCUUAAAAUAAGUGCUUCAAUCAUGCACUUUUUGACCCCAAAAAAUAUGUCUAACACCCAAUGCCUUUGUGUUUUUUAAUCAUUUAGUUAAUUUUUUAAAAGAAACAAUAUUUUGUGUUUUUAAUCAUUUGUCAUUAAAAAACUUAAUUAUUUUGACAAAUGACCUUUUUCUGUUCCUUUCUCACCACCAUCUCCCUUUCAAAUCUUUGCUGGCCUUUUUGUCUGUUUAUGAGUUCAUGUUGGAAACAUAUGUUGUUUUGGGCUCUGCUUUCAUUUGGGCUAAGGCCUAGAUGUAUAUAUAAAUACAAGUACUCUUUACGUAAGACGUCCGUUCUUUAUUAAAGAAAAAAUACGGUUACGGUGUUACUGACACAUUACCGACUCCCCGUUCUCUAACCUGUGCUUCAUAGCCGGACUAUAUGUAAAGAAAGAAUAUAUUCAGAUUCUUUGUAUUUCGAUAAAGAACGGACCUCCGUUCGUUCAACAUAUAAAAGAAAGAAUAUAUUCAGAUUCGGGAUCAAUUUUCUAAUAAGAAAUUAUUAUUUUGAAUGAGUUAUGAGAUUUGCAUUCUUUUAUUUCUGGUUUGGACUUUAUUUUCUUCUGUUCGGUAAAUUAAUUGAAUUUUGAGCAGAGAUGUUGGCAACACAAACAAUGAACCCCACCAACCGGAUAAAAGCAAAUCCUACUCAAUUAUGUGUGGAUUAUGAAUUCAGACAAAACCCUGGAAAAGAAUCCGAUCUAACUAAUACUUAAACCCUAGUUGUUAGAUUUGAACAUUUUUAAAGGUUGGACAACAUAUCGCUUUAGCAUUAUUUUUAUCAGUGCAGAUUGCAGAAAGUUGAUAAAAAAAAAAGUAGGGUAACGUCAUUACCAUGAAAGUUCUUGAUGCAGAGCACUCUAUCCAUGCAUGGCUGUCAGGGCCCCACCUCUCUUUAGCUCCUUAAGAUUUGGAAAGACUCGAGCUUUGGUCAAAUAGGUUCUGCAAUCUGCAUAAUCAAAGAAUACAAAGAAUGCAGUACUAAAUAAUUGAACAGAUUUUCAACAAAUACAAAGAAUUUGUGUCCCCUACUCGUCCUAUGAAUUCAACAGGAUGAUUGAGAUCAUUAAAAAUAUAGAAGAAAUGAGAUACCUUAGAUUGGAUGUGGCUUUCCUUCUUCUUUCCUUGCAAGAUUGGAUCUUGGGUUUUGGCUUUUUGUUGAACUGCAGCAAAAGGAAUGGAUAAUGCCCCUUAAUCCAAAAAUAUUUCAGUAAAUCAACACACAAUCGGAUAGAAUAAAAAGGAACAAAAUAUUACUGUUAAUACUUCAUAGUAGUCCCUACAUCCGAUUCAAUGAAACUUGUAUGGAAGUUUUAGUUGUUCCCAUCCGUAUAUAUAUGCCUAUUAGCUGCAGUUUGACAUGAAGUUCUGAAGACAUGAAAAGGAAAACAGAUUAUUAUUCUCAAGAAAAAAAUACAGAAAGAAAUGGCCAUAGCUGGUUAAAAACUUACCCAGAAAACAAGGCGACCUGCAUGUUCGAUGUGCAUCCUUGAUCCUUCCAAGUUUCAUUACUCCCUAACAGUUCGUACAGUAGUAUUUUUUAUGGAUUUUCAUUGUACUUUUUCCAAUUUUCGAACUCGCCAAGUAACCUAUUAGCAACGACCAUGAUGCAUCAGUCGGUAUUAGGUUCUCUCUGCCUGGUUGACAUGCUCUCGAACUAGAGAGAAGUCUGAAUCCAGGUGCUCAAGCUUUGUUUCGCACACUUAAUCAAGGCCCCUGAAAGGAGGAAACCUUUUGGUAGAAGACAUUUCUACUUGCUAUGUGAUCAUAUGGUGUAUAUCCUACUUCAAGUUGCAGUAAAUUUCAUGUUAGCUAUAAUUUCAAUGAUAAUCAUAUGCUGUAUAUCCUACUUAAAUCAACUAAAAUUUCAAUGAUACUUUUAGUUUCAUAUUAUCAGUUGCAAGUUACGUUCUUGGCACCUUUACCUUUCACACACUCAACUUUAGAACUCAAAGGAGUAAGUUUCCAGUUCUAUUGCCUAAUACCUUGUCAAAGUAAGUAACCAAAAAUUAGAUCAACACUUGUAACGUUGGUCUGAUGGUGCUAAUGACUUGACAUUUAAACAAACCUUUACCUUCAAUUCCAAAAGCAAAGUAGUUAUUUUUAAUUAAGGUGAGUUUCUCCCGACUGGGUUUGGCAUGGAAAACAGAAGCAGGCAUUGGCUACUUGCAAGUCACUUCAUAUAAAAACAAUUAAAAGUAUAUAUAAUUAUCAGAGUGUAACGGUUCUAACUUACAGAUACAGCAGAACUACGAUUCUUCUAUAUCCAAAAUCGCACUUGGAGCAUACCCAGUACGCCUCAGAUGAUCUGUUAACUGAUCAAGCAUGGAGUAUAUACUGCUUGAAGUUUCAUGUCUCUUGUCAUCAACCAUAAAUUCGUAAACACGGCCAUCAAUUUCGAUCGAGCUCACUGCUCUACUCUUUAUGGAUCCACCGUCUUUUAUUAGUUUCCUGAUGUUCUUAACAUCCUCCCAUCUGUGCGCUUCACCAAAUAUGUUUGCUAGAAGUACAUAAAGUCCAGAACCAUGCAGUUCCAACUCCAACAGCUGCUUUAGAAUCAGCUUUCCCAAAUCCACAUUUCCAUGGAUCCGACAAGCACCAAGUAAAGCACCCCAAAUGACAACAUCAGGCUUCAUUGGCAUUCCUCUUACCAGCCUCAUUGCUUCUUCUAAAAGUCCCGCUCGCCCCAGCAGAUCUACCAUGCAAGCAUAGUGCUCAAUUUCAGGUGAUAUUCUGUAAGUAGACUUCAUUUUUUCAAAGUAAUGUCUCCCUAAGUCUAGAAGACCACUGUGACUGCAAGCAGAAAGAAGUCCGAUGAAGGUGAUCUCAUCCGGCCAGAUUCUACCUGCUUGCAUCUGUUCGAAUAUCCCGAUUGAUUCUGAUCCGCGACCGUGCAAUGCAAGGGCCCCGAUAAUGAUGUUCCAUGAUACUACAUUCUUUUCUGGUAUCAGAAUAAAGAUGUCCAUGGCAAUUUCAACAGCACCACAUUUUGCAUACAUGUCCAUAAGGGAAUUAAAAAGGGUUACACUGGGUGCAAUAUUGCUGUUGCAAAUGUAAUUAUGGGUUUUCCUUCCAAUGACCAAAUCGCCAAUUUGACUGCAGGAUGAAAGGACAGAAACCAAGGUAGCCUCAUCAGGCACCACACUCGAAUUAAGCAUUUUCUGGAAUAGAUCCAAAGCCACCCUGCACUGGCCUUCCCGUACAUAAUAUGAGAUCAUUGAAUUCCAAGAAACCACAUUUUUAUGUGGCAUCUGGUUGAAAAACUCCUGGGCAAAUUCAAUGAGCCCAUGUUUAGUGUAUGCUCUAACCAUUGACGUCCAGGAAACCACAUUUUUGUGAGUCAUUUGAUCAAAAAUCUUUCGUGCCAAGUGCAAAUGCCCACACUUGGCAUACAUAUCCAGAAGAGCAUUUCUCACAAUUUGGUCAAUUUCAAUCCCACUAACCUCAAUAAAAAGAUGCACAUAUCUUCCCAACUCCAAAUCACAAGCUUGUGAACAAACAGAGAGUAAAUUAACCAAAGUAAACUUAUCAGGCUCAACCCCCAGAUCUCUCAUCUCCCUAAACAACAACAGAGCCUCCUUGCACGAACCCAUUCUAGCAUAGCCACCGAUCAUUGAAUUCCAUGAAACCAGACUCCUCUCAGACAUAUCAUCAAACACAUUCUGAGCACACCGGAUCAACCCCCGAACACUAUAGACAGUAAUAAGGGCAUUUUGCACGCAAACUUGAGACUCAAUUCCUAGUUUAAUAGCCUGGCCAUGAACAGCCACGGCUUCCCAAUAUGCGGACUGUCCCACGCAAACCUUGAGCACAAAGGGCAACGUGAACUCGUUUGGUGAAAGACCUGAACCAACCAUUUGGCAGUAGAGUGAAAAGGCCUUAAAUGGGUCAUUACUAUUUGAGUAACCCCUUAUAAGACUAUUGUACAUAAACUUAUUUGGCUCAGGAAUUUGGUCGAACACAAGCUGGGCGUAGCGGAGAUUUCUGGGAUCGGAGACGGAGCAGAAGGAUAUGAGUUUUCCGAGGGUGAGGUUUUCGCUUGUGAGGCUGUGGAGGAUGAUUAGGGCGUGGAGCUGUUUGAGUUCUCUCAUGGAGGAGCAUUGCUCAAGGAGGAGAUGCAGGGUUUGGUGAGUGGAGUUUUUGAAUUCGUGGGCGAAAUUGGUGGGCUUUGGAGGGAGAGUGGGGUGUAGAGAGUGAAAGAAGCGGGAAGCAACGGUCGGAUUUUUGGGAGUAAAGAACAUGGCCGUUGGAAUUUUGGUUUGGAGGCAAAUGUAACGGUAUUAUGAAUUAUAAAGAUACCUUGUUUUUUGUUUGGGAAAUGUUAUUAGCACUCCAAAAAUCACAUUCUACACUCCUCAUAAGUGUAUUUUUCUUUCUAAUUAUAGAAAGUUUGGAGUUCAAAAUGAAAUUUUUGGAAUGCCAACAACAAUUCCCUUUUAUUUGGGUUGAAAAAUAUCAUAUUGCAAAAACAACUAGCGUUUAAUUUGUAUGGAAGAUCUCCAAACGAAUCAUUGUGCAAGCUUAAUUUGAACCCCUCUUCACUAAAAUGGACAUCGCCUAAAAAACAAAGCCAUAUUAUUAAUUUUUAUUUGAAUGUAUGAUUUAGAUUGACAGUCUAAUAAGAGAAAGUACAACCCACAAUGGUGCCAUUCAUAAUGUUAGUGUUAUAUGUUCUAAACCAAAUGACCCAUAUGUAAAGUUGUUGAAUUAUCGGAUAGACGGCCCAAAGAUCCACUUCCAACAACAUUGAUAUUGUCAUCAACUUGGUAAUUACCACAUACACAAUCUGUCAAGUGUGGGGUUUUAUCAUAAAAGACCUCGGUAUUAGUUGGAGUGGAGUUAAGAUAUUUAAACUCUUCUUUUUACAGAGAUACAGUCGAUGUGGGAUAUUUCAACGCCCCCUCACGUGAGACUCAAUUAGUGGGUCACACGUAAGAGAUUCACACAUCGGCGACCACAUAGAGCCAAGACAACUCACCCUACACGCGGGGCCAAGGGACUCACCAUCAUGGAGUAUAUUUUAACAUGCCCCCUCACGUGGGAUCAAUUAGUGGGUCACACGUAACGUGGAGCCAAGGGAACUCACCCUACACGCGAGGCCAAGGGACCCACCAUCAUCGUCCCUGGCUCUGAUACCAUGUAAAAUUAUCAGAGAGACGGGUCAAAUGCCCACUUCCAACAACAUCGAUAUUGUUCUCAACUUGUUAAAUAUCACUUGCACAGUCCAACAUGUGUAGGAAUUUAUACAAAAAAAGCUUCAAUAUUAGUUGGAGUAGAGUUAAGAGUAUUAAAAUUUUUAUUUUAACAAAAAUACGGUCGAUGUGAGAUAUUUCAACAAAAACUUCUUGCAAAUAUGGUUACAGGUGUCACUUGCAUUUACAAGUGAUUAGAAAAACAACUUAUUCCUUCUUCAUAAAAUACAACUCAAAAUAACUUUGUAAUAUACAUUUCUCAAAGCUUCAUCUCAGACGACCCUAUUUGUAUCUCCUAAAAGUUUCUGCAUAUGACACCAUUGUUUCAAUUUCGGCGGAGCUCAUUUUCUGUAUAUGACACAACAGCCGGCAAGACUUUUACAAAGAAGGAAGAAGCCAAAGAUUGAAUAGAGAGGAACCUAGUGAAAGAAACCAAGAAAGGAAAGCCAUUGCAGCAGAUAACUGAUAUCUAGUACAUAACUUGGCAGGGCAGUAGGAUCUACCGAGAUGAAGUAGGAGAUAUGUGGUACUAGCCGUUGAGCAAGCUGCAGCGAGUGAGAGAUAUGACAACGCCUGUGAUGAAACGAACAUAAUAUAUUCUUAAGUUGGGAAAACGAAGAAUUUGUUCUUAAUGAGAUAAAUAAGUUUAUAGACAAAAACACAUACCAAGUCUCCUAAAAUAAUUAUUGUAGUUAUUCUUGGUCGACGAGGCAAAUAUCUAAAGAAGACAGAGUAGACAUCCACGAUCAUCAACGUCAUGCUCCAUGGAACUACCAAACCCAUUACUGUCACCAAAUAGCUGCAACGCAAGCAAUGGUAAGAGUUACUACUAUAUAUUAAUAAAAAAGUUCUCGUUGAGCACUUUCAUCUCCUUCAUUUUGCAAACGUGAAAUAACCGAGACAACAUAAAUCUGGUAAUGGCUAUAAUGGACAAUUCAAAUAGCACCAUAGAAUCAUUUCAGUUUACAGAUUAGAACAUGAAGAAACAAACGUUGCAGGAAAAGUGACUUGAAUUUGUUAGGUUUUAGAAGUUGAAAAGUUCUUAACUGUUAAAAUUUCUAGCUCUUCGCCACAAGACUUUUAGAGAUGGUAAUAUUUUACAGGUUCGAGAAGACACCAAUAAGGACAAGUUCAGGGUGAGGUUAUUGAUUGGAAGUACAUUUGGAGCAAUGGAAGCAACACAUACAGUUGAACACAGUAGACUUCUUUGGACAUGUCAUUAGAGCAUAAAUUCUUAAAGACUAAGUCAAUGACCAACAAAAACAGACGUGCAAAAUUAGCUUUGUGAGAAAAAGAAAAAAAGUCAACUAAGAGCAGAUGAUACCACAAUGUUCUACAAUGAGAGUUUACAGAGUCUUUUCAUUUCCAUGAGAGUUUACGCUUAAAAUGUUUGAAGGCUGAAAGAUUUUGCUUCCAAUUCUCUGUUGAGUUUUUGGUUUCGAAUCUAGAUUCACAUCUUACGGGCCAUAAAACCAGUUAAGUCUAUCAAGAAGCGGUUUUGAUGCUCUACAAUGUUCUGAUGACUUCAAAGCUGCUAAAAUUCGAUAGUGAAUUACAGAGUCCUAAACAGUUCAUUCUCUACAAAAAAUUCCAACAUAUUUACUUGCUCAAUUAGGAGAAACUUAGAAACAGUUGCAUAUACUGAAAAUUCUUCAUCAGUAAGCCCAACUAUAUAUUAUUAUAAUCUUUUGCAUGUAUAGAAUAUGUUAAAUUUUAACCAGUUCAAUCUCCAUAUGAUCUUUACAGAAACACAGUUUCCAGUUCUUAACAAAGCCAAAAGUCAAUAUCCAGCCCAAGAAAUCAAAACAGAAUUGCCAUCAAAUUCAGAAACAGAGACAUGGGUAUUGAACAACAAGUCAAAAUCACAAAAGGGUCCGAUGAAAUUCAACUAAGAAACUCCAAAUUCGAAGAAUUCGAAAGUACCAGAAGGCGGUGUAGCUGUAGAACUCGACGUCCAAGCACAUGAAGAGAAGGGAGGCAGUGGAGAAGAUGGUCUGCCCGAAUCGCAGAGCCAAGCUGGCGCUGGUUCCCAACGACCCCGGCAGUUCAUCCAUGCUUGCAAUUGCAUGCAGCAGCAACAACAACAAGAACUCCUCAUGGUAAACGAAAUUCAAGAACAAUUCUUCUCAGCCACAUGACCAAAUAGUUGUGGCAAAAAUGGAGUUCCAAAUAAUUUUGGGGAAAUAUGGGAACUGGGUUUUGAAGGGGGAGAGGAGGACUUGCUUUGGUGGGAAGAAUGGUAAUGGGAAUGUGAAUCGUUGUGGUGAAUUGUCAAGGAAAAGGAGUGUUGGGGAGAAAAGAAAACAAAAGUGAGAGAGACGUAAAGGGUACGCAGAUUUUGGUGGGUUUUUUGGCUUUGGCUUUGGCAUCUCCUCCAUCAUUUGGGCAUAAAUGGUAUAAUGUUCUUAUCGGGUAGGCAGGGAGUGCGGCAUCUUCUCCUUCAUUUCAUCCCGCUUAAUUUAUUAUUAUUAUUAUUAUUAUUAUUAAUUUUAUUAUAAGCGAUAUUAUUACUCCGUUUAUAUUUGUAUUUACAUAGGGUUUAAUUCUAAAUAAGUUUUAAAAAAUAUAAUCAUAGAGAGUGACUAUAUGACACAUAUAUACAAUCACAAUGAUGUUUGUGCACCAAUGAAAUAAAAACAUAUAUAAAUUUUAUUCAUAUAUUCUUAUUUCAUUGGCAUGUGGUGAUGUACCCGUAAUUUCUCAACCAUUAGGGCAAAACCCAAAAAUUAUUAGGUGGAUAAAAAUAGUGUUUUUUCUCUUUUUCUUUUUCCUCAAUAAGGUUCUUUGAAUCAAAGCGUAUAAAGUAAGGGAAUUGGCUUUAAAUUUGCUAUUAUAUGUCUUUGUUUUAUUUUGCAUGAUUAAUUGCCGAGUGUAUUUUAAUACAGGUUGGAUACAAAAGAACCAAAAAGUAGUACAAAGCUCAAAUGAAACUUAACAAACUUCAUUUCUCACUUAACAUGUAUUUGAUCUUCAUGAACACAACCCAGUUGGUUUACGACUUUACUAUCACUUACAAGUGAAAAAAGACGAUAAGUCAAAUAUAAUUAGAUUUCAAACUUAACAGUGAUAUUAUACAUCUUUAUCAUUCAUGUAAGUCAAAAUUUAGACCUCUACUUAUGAGCGACAAAAAAAAUAUUACUAAACCAUUUUUUUUAGGAAUUUUAACGAAAAACUCACGGUACUAUUCACUUUAACCAAAAAUCAUAUUUUUACACUAAAAAGUCAAUCAUGGUACUAUUCACUUUACCUCUUAUUUUGUCUUUAUCAUUAAAAAUCAAAGUUUUUAAACCCUUUUCAUUAGUUUUGCUUUUUUUUUUUAGUUUUUCUUCUUUAUUAUUUUUAAAGUCUAUAUGAAUGUAGCUUUGUCAACAUGUUAUCUUUUACCCAAAUCACAUCAUUUUACUAGUAAUAUUAUAAAAAUUGAGACAAUGUCUAUUGAAGAACUAAUAUUUAAUUAAAUGUUUGAUGCUUUUCAUUUAAACUAAUAUACAAUAAUUUCCCAAAUAUCAUGGUUCAAUGGUCUCUUUCAUAGAGGGUUUAAAUAUUAUUUCAUAUAUGAAUAUAAUAUAAUUACUUUCAAGUUUUGCCAUACAAAACACAGAGAAUUAUAAUCACACAUUUAAAAAAUAAAUAAAUAAAGUUUGACAAUCUUGAAGAGAAUACUACCAAAUGCAUGUCACUCAGUCCAAAUGUCCAAUUUGUGUGGCUCACCAACCACAUAAAAGGAUAUGAGAAAGCAAUUAGCGUAAAAAGAUGAUGUCGAUGAUCAUAAUUUAUUAUAAUCAAUAUUGCUCGUUACUUUUUCACAGCAAAUCGUUGUCUGACGCAUUUAUAAAAGAAACAGUUUUUACGCAUGUCAAAUUUUGACGUAUAAUGAUUUACCGUUAAAGAAGUUUGACUCCUUAAAAGAUAAUGUACAAGAAAGAUAAUACAUACAAGAUAAUAGGCAUGAUAAUAUACAAGAAGAUAAUGAUCUGAGUGAUCUCAGUGCUUGUUGUUCAAUUGGGUUACAAAGAGAGUUGAGCAACACCUUUUUAACUUAUAGCAAAAUCUGAAACCCAGAAUCACCAUUAAUACAUAGAGGAAAACGAAACUAAUCAAGCUGAGCAUACCAAACUCCCUGGAUUUUGACAUCCUUUGGAGUCUUGGCUCCCAAGUCAGUGUCGGAUGGCUGAAGGCUCUCGAACACCCCAAUCAACUCACCAGUCUCAGGCUUGGUCUUUGUCACACUCAGUGUUAUCUUCCCCUUCGAUGCUGCUGUAUUCUUGGUGUUCUCCUUUGCCAGCUCCUCCUCGUCUCCUCUGCCUCCUGCCGGCAGUGCGACCGCAUUGUCAUAACCGGUGGAUCCUCCUCUUCCCUUGGGGUCCAAGAAAGAGGAUCCACGGUAUGAUGGUACUAGAAACUCUCCCGUGAAAUUUUCGGGCUUGCCAGAGGCUACCAGCUGCUUGAUGGUAAAGAGGAAGGGCACGCGCUCGCCUCCCGGGAGCUGGACUGUCACUGCAGCGUAGUCAAUUCCGUCUUUCUCUUCGAACUUGAUGGAGCCAUCUGGAGCAACUUCGAAAGGUCCUUCGAUCUCAUCGAGGGUGUAGGUUAGGCGGGUCAUGAGCUUGGUGUUUUGGAACUCUGGUGGAGCGUUCUUGUUCACACUCUCAGCCUUAACAGUGAAGGAUGUUGGCUCUAGGCAGAACUUCUUGGCACUGUACUUGCCGGGUUUGAAGGCAAAUGCUUCGGAUCCUCCGUCGAUGGUUGGGCAUUGGUUAGCAGUUCCUGUUCCCUUCACUUCCAAGUAGGUCUUGCUCUGGAUUUCGUCGAAGGUCAACCUCUUUGGAGCUCCCUCUGCACCUGCUCCCUGAAACACAAAGUGUUGGCCAAGAAUGACCAAAUGUCAAUCUUACUUAAUAAUAAAAAGGAAUCCGAUGAUCACGUUACCUAAGUUGUUGUCAAACUGUCAGUCUAAAUUGAAAUAGUGAGAUUUAUAUCCAUACUUUAUAAAAUCAAGUGAUGCUGCGUUAUGUUUGAUAGGUUUUCAAUCUCAACUAUUAGAUGAGCAUACGUACAUAUGACAUGCGAUUUAGCUUGUGAUCCAAACAACAUAACAUGUCAUAUAUCUAAAACGAACAUUACUCUCGUCUGGUGAGACGAUCCAAUUCUAACAAAUUAAUGGAGAACAUGUCGAUAUUGCUACACAAUUGCGUAUUCAACUAGUCCAAACUUACCGCCUAACUAUAGUUCAUAUUAACGAGUAAGUACUAGUAAACAUGAAUUCACAAAAGUUCAAAUGCAAACAACUUAGUCAUUGUUCUACUUCUACACCACAAUUUCAAUCACAUGAAGCAAGAAACUAAGGAGUGAAAUGGAAUUAGCAUGUCAUACCGAAACGACGAGAGCGGAAGUAGCAAGAGCAAAUCCAGCAAUCUUGGAUGCAUCAAGGCACUUGUGAGCCAAGUCCUUGAGAUCAGAUUGCAAAGAGCAAGUGAGCCUAGCAGAAGCAGAUGGCUCCAAGCCAAAGGCCUUGGAGACACUCUGAGAGGACCUCAGUUGCACACUGGUCCUCGCCGACACGCCGACCUUGGUCGGCUGCAUGAGCGUAGCAGCUGCUUGGAGGGAGGCUGCCAUGGUUGUGUUCACUAUUUUUUUGUGAUCUCUCACACAAUAAUU